CAGCCGCCGCGGUAAUACGGAGGGUGCAAGCGUUAAUCGGAAUUACUGGGCGUAAAGCGCACGCAGGCGGUUUGUUAAGUCAGGUGUGAAAUCCCCGAGCUUAACUUGGGAACUGCAUUUGAAACUGGCAAGCUAGAGUCUUGUAGAGGGGGGUAGAAUUCCAGGUGUAGCGGUGAAAUGCGUAGAGAUCUGGAGGAAUACCGGUGGCGAAGGCGGCCCCCUGGACAAAGACUGACGCUCAGGUGCGAAAGCGUGGGGAGCAAACAGGAUUAGAUACCCCGGUAGUCCCUGUCUCUUAUAC
Molecule: ribosomal RNA, 301 nt
Filed under: uncultured bacterium
Lineage: Bacteria
Description: partial 16S ribosomal RNA
Rfam family: Bacterial small subunit ribosomal RNA
Source: RNAcentral